RNAcentral lists this ribosomal RNA (253 nucleotides) under uncultured bacterium. RNAcentral's name for it is "partial 16S ribosomal RNA". It matches the Rfam family "Bacterial small subunit ribosomal RNA", at positions 524 to 776 of the family's 1533-position model. The record is from RNAcentral.
UACGUAGGGGGCAAGCGUUGUCCGGAUUUAUUGGGCGUAAAGAGCGUGUAGGCGGCCAAGCAGGUCCGCUGUGAAAACUCGAGGCUCAACCUCGAGACGUCGGUGGAAACCGUUUGGCUAGAGUCCGGAAGAGGAGAGUGGAAUUCCUGGUGUAGCGGUGAAAUGCGCAGAUAUCAGGAGGAACACCAGUGGCGAAGGCGGCACUCUGGGCCGGUACUGACGCUGAGGAGCGAAAGCGUGGGGAGCGAACAGG